UACGGAGGAUCCGAGCGUUAUCCGGAUUUAUUGGGUUUAAAGGGUGCGUAGGCGGGAGAUUAAGUCAGCGGUGAAAGUUUGCAGCUUAACUGUAAAAUUGCCGUUGAAACUGAUUUUCUUGAGUGUAAAUAAGGUAGGCGGAAUGUGUUGUGUAGCGGUGAAAUGCAUAGAUAUAACACAGAACCCCGAUUGCGAAGGCAGCUUACCGGGCUACAACUGACGCUGAGGCACGAAAGCGUGGGGAUCAAAC
This 250-nucleotide ribosomal RNA is filed under the name uncultured bacterium. Its description in RNAcentral is "partial 16S ribosomal RNA". It matches the Rfam family "Bacterial small subunit ribosomal RNA", at positions 524 to 773 of the family's 1533-position model. The record is from RNAcentral.